This 497-nucleotide ribosomal RNA is filed under the name uncultured bacterium. RNAcentral's name for it is "partial 16S ribosomal RNA". It matches the Rfam family "Bacterial small subunit ribosomal RNA", at positions 28 to 507 of the family's 1533-position model. The record is from RNAcentral.
GAUGAACGCUGGCGGCGUGCCUAAUACAGGCAAGUCGAGCGAACGGACGAGAAGCUUGCUUCUCUGAUGUUAGCGGCGGAGGGGUGAGUAACACGUGGAUAACCUACCUAUAAGACUGGGAUAACUUCGGGAAACCGUAGCUAAUACCGGAUAAUAUUUUGAACCGCAUGGUUCAAAAGUGAAAGACGGUCUUGCUGUCACUUAUAGAUGGAUCCGCGCUGCAUUAGCUAGUUGGUAAGGUAACGGCUUACCAAGGCAACGUUGCAUAGCCGACCUGAGAGGCUGUUCGGCCACGCUGGAACUGAGACACGGUCCAGACUCCUACGGGAGGCCGCAGCAGGGAAUAUUCCGCAAUGGGCGAAAGCCUGACGGAGCAACGCCGCGUGAGUGAUGAAGGUCGUCGGAUCGUAAAGCUCUGUUAUGAGGGAAGAACAUAUGUGUAAGUAACUGUGCACAUCUUGACGGUACCUAAUCCGAAAGCCACGGCUAACUCCGUG